CAAUAAGCGGAGGAAAAGAAACUAACAAGGAUUCCCCUAGUAACUGCGAGUGAAGCGGGAAAAGCUCAAAUUUAAAAUCUGGCGGUCUCUGACUGUCCGAGUUGUAAUCUAGAGAAGUGUUAUCCGCGCUGGACCGUGUACAAGUCUCCUGGAAUGGAGCGUCAUAGAGGGUGAGAAUCCCGUCUUUGACACGGACUGCCAGGGCUUUGUGAUGCGCUCUCAAAGAGUCGAGUUGUUUGGGAAUGCAGCUCAAAAUGGGUGGUAAAUUCCAUCUAAAGCUAAAUAUUGGCGAGAGACCGAUAGCGAACAAGUACCGUGAGGGAAAGAUGAAAAGAACUUUGGAAAGAGAGUUAAACAGUACGUGAAAUUGCUGAAAGGGAAACGCUUGAAGUCAGUCGCGUUGGCCAGGGAUCAACCUUGCUUUUGCUGGGUGUACUUCCUGGUUGAUGGGUCAGCAUCAAUUUUGAUCAUUGGAAAAAGAUCAGGGGAAUGUGGCAUCCUUGGAUGUGUUAUAGCCCUUGGUUGUAUACAAUGGUUGGGAUUGAGGAACUCAGCACACCGCAAGGCCGGGUUUUUACCACGUACGUGCUUAGGAUGCUGGCAUAAUGGCUUUAAUCGACCCGUCUUGAAACACGGACCAAGGAGUCUAACAUGCCUGCGAGUGUUUGGGUGGAAAACCCGAGCGCGCAAUGAAAGUGAAAGUUGAGAUCCCUGUCGUGGGGAGCAUCGACGCCCGGACCUGACCUUUUGUGACGGCUCCGCGGUAGAGCAUGUAUGUUGGGACCCGAAAGAUGGUGAACUAUGCCUGAAUAGGGUGAAGCCAGAGGAAACUCUGGUGGAGGCUCGUAGCGAUUCUGACGUGCAAAUCGAUCGUCAAAUUUGGGUAUAGGGGCGAAAGACUAAUCGAACCAUCUAGUAGCUGGUCU
Molecule: ribosomal RNA, 926 nt
Filed under: Cortinarius sp. PDD 103675
Lineage: Eukaryota; Fungi; Basidiomycota; Agaricomycetes; Agaricales; Cortinariaceae
Description: eukaryotic LSU rRNA
Rfam family: Eukaryotic large subunit ribosomal RNA
Source: RNAcentral